Pelobates cultripes (western spadefoot toad) is the source of this 2698-nucleotide non-coding RNA. The record is from the annotation of a GenBank genome assembly. NCBI's taxonomy places the organism in Eukaryota, Metazoa, Chordata, Amphibia, Anura, Pelobatidae.
GCUGUUUUAAAAGAUGUCACACACCUAUACAUACUUUAUUAUGCUAGAUGUCAUAUCAUUCACAUUUACAACAAAAGUUUAACAAUACACUGAAUAUAGAAAAAGUAGAUUUAUUUACAAUGCAAAAAGAAAGAAAAUACCACAAAUACAAGCUGAUAUAUGAACCAAAUAAUCAAUAAGUGUCUGGCUCUCUACACUUUAAAUGCAAAAUAUGGAUUCACAAAGCUGUCUUUUUACGCGCAAAAAUCUGUUAAGACAUAACUCUGACAUGUACUUAACUUUUUAACAAGUGUUUCUUGAAUUGUAACUAUGUAUUACAUUCUAAAAUUCUUUUGAACAUUCCAUAUCGUUACACUUUUCACGUAACCUAAAUAUAAUAUUAAAGGGACACUAUAGUCACCUAAACAACUUUAGCUUAAUGAAGCAGUUUUGGUGUAUAGAACAUGCCCCUGCAGCCUCACUGCUCAAUCCUCUGCCAUUUCGGAGUUAAAUCACUUUGUUUAUGAACCCUAGUCACACCUCCCUGCAUGUGACUUGCACAGCCUUCCAUAAACACUUCCUGUAAAGAGAGCCUUAUUUAGGCUUUCUUUAUUGCACGUUCUGUUUAAUUAAGAGUUUCUUAUCCCCUGCUAAGUUAAUAGCUUGCUAGACCCUGCAAGAGCCUCCUGUAUGUGAUAUAAGUUCAAUUUAGAGACUGAGAUACAAUUAUUUAAGGUAAAUCACAUCUGUUUGAAAGUGAAAUCAGUUGUUUUUUUCAUGCAGGCUCUGUCAAUCAUAGCCAGGGGAGGUGUGGCUAGGGCUGCAUAAACAGAAACAAAGUGAUUUAACUCCUAAAUGACAGUGAAUUGAGCAGUGAAAUUGCAGGGGAAUGAUCUAUACACCAAAACUGCUUUAUUUAGCUAAAGUAAUUUGGGUAACUAUAGUGUUCCUUUAAAUAAAAGUCUAAUGGCUUUCUUCGAUUCUUUCAAUAGUUUCUAUACAGUAUAUUAGUCCAGGUGUGUUUUAUAGCCUUGUACUUGUCUAGUGCAUACAAAGUUGUUCUAGAUAAGACAUAUUUACAUAGUAAAUCCAUCUAAUAUACACGGAGUCAUGUUACACAGUUUUAGGUCCCCUAAUUAGGAGUGGGCACUAGGCUUCCAACAACCAAGUGCAGGCUAUAGUGGCAUGAGGGUAUGCCAAGCUUGAUAGCCAACAUCAGUUGUCAAUGUGCUACAAACUAUUCCAUAUCUCUUUCUUGGUAAGAAUUCCACAUCCUACUCCCUUCAGCCAUACUGGGCCCAUUAACAACCUAGACUCUGGCCUAAUGUUUUAUUAUUAACUCAAAAUAUUAAGUUAAAAUAGCAUAUAUUCUUGCAGGGAAGUUGUAAUAAUUCCUAAUUACAAAUCCUGCAUGGCAGACUAUGCCUAUUUUUGGAUUAUAAUUUCUGCAGAUACUUUUCUUUUCUUGAACCAUGCUAGAAGUGGAUCCACUCCUGUUACUGAAAAUUAGGGAACUCUAGCUCCUUUAUUUACAAACAUGACAGUUCACAAAUUUUGAGUAGAAAAAGGAUUAGGAAAAUAAGACGAAUUUCAUUAUACUGUACCAGUUGGUUUUCAAAAUGUAUAUUAUUAUUAUUAUAUUUAUAUAGCGCCAACAAAUUCCAUAGCGCUUUACAAUGGUUGGACUAACAAACAUGUAAUUGUAACCAGACAAGUUUGACGCACAGAAACAGAGGGCUUGAGGCAGGGCCGGUGCAAGGAUUUUUGCCGUCCGAGGCAAAAUUAAAUAAAAAUUUGCCGUCCCGCCUGCCCCCCCAUGUGACAUCACAAUGCCCCACCCAUAUGAUCUGCCAUAUGAACUAAUGCCAGUGCUGCACACAGUAUGUGUUUACAUUGAAAAGCCUGCACGGACAGGCUACAGACACCAGAAUCAUUAUAUUAAGCUACAGUGGUUCUGGGGACUAUAGAGUCCUUUUAAUGUGAGGUAAAUUAGAGAUUAGUGUCACUAAUAAUAUACUAGAUUGCCUACUUACAAUCAGAUGAGGAUGGUGAUGGGCUCUAGCUGCAGUCUGGCUUCACUGGUCUGGUGUAGAACAGGCUCUCUGGAGGUUGUUUGUAACUGUGGUCACAAAAUUCAAUGUUCUGGGAGAACGGGAAGCAGCUCCAUUUUUUGGGGCUCCUUGUGGAGGAUCUAAUGUGUGUGCUUAUGGAAUAUAGUGUAUAGGGAUACCAGUUUGUGUAGGUGAUGCAGUAUAUGUGUAGUGGAUGCAGUGUAUUUUUGUGUAAGGGAUAGAAAGCAGUGUUUGUUUGUAAGGGAUGUAUUGUGUGUUUCUGGUUGUGUGUAAGGGACGCAUUGUGUGAAUCUGUGUUUGUAUGCAUAAGGGAUGCAAAGUGUGUUUCUGUGUUUGUAAGGGAUGCAGUGUGUGUGUGUCUAUAAGGGGUGCAUUGAGUGUGUGUAAGAGAUGCAUUGUGUUUCUGUGUGUGUGUAAGAGAAGCAGUGUGUGUUUGCAUGUGUGUGCAAGGGAUGCAUUGUGAGUUCUGUGUAUGUGUGCAAAGGAUGUAUUGUCUUUGUGUGUAAGGGUUGCAUUGUGUGUGUGUGUGUGUGUGUGUGUAAUGGAUGCAUUGUGUGUUUCUCUGUGUGUAAGGGAAGCAUGUUGUGUUUCUUUGUAUGUAAAUUCUCCUCUCCCCCUCUCCCUUAGUGGACUCUGCCCCACUUAUA